UACGCCUACGGGAGGCAGCAGUGGGGGAUAUUGCACAAUGGGGGGAACCCUGAUGCAGCGACGCCGCGUGGGCGAUGGAGUGCUUCGGCACGUAAAGCCCUAUCAGCAGGGAAGAAAAUGACGGUACCUGACUAAGAAGCCCCGGCUAACUACGAGCCAGCAGCCGCGGUAAUACGCAGGGGGGAAGCGUUAUCCGGAUUUACUGGGUGUAAAGGGAGCGUAGGCGGCGAUGCAAGUCAGAAGUGAAAG
RNAcentral lists this ribosomal RNA (249 nucleotides) under uncultured bacterium. RNAcentral's name for it is "partial 16S ribosomal RNA". It matches the Rfam family "Bacterial small subunit ribosomal RNA", at positions 334 to 600 of the family's 1533-position model. The record is from RNAcentral.